GAUAAACGCUGGCGGCGCACAUAAGACAUGCAAGUCGAACGGACUUAAUCCAUUCUUUACGAUUGGAAGCGGUUAGUGGCGGACUGGUGAGUAACGCGUGAGCAACCUGCCUAUAAGAGGGGAACAACAGUUAGAAAUGACUGCUAAUACCGCAUAAGCUGAUAGGGUCGCAUGACCUAGUCAGAAAAGGAGCAAUCCGCUUAUAGAUGGGCUCGCGUCUGAUUAGCUAGUUGGUGGGGUAACGGCCUACCAAGGCAACGAUCAGUAGCCGGACUGAGAGGUUGAACGGCCACAUUGGGACUGAGAUACGGCCCAGACUCCUACGGGAGGCAGCAGUCGGGAAUAUUGCGCAAUGGAGGAAACUCUGACGCAGUGACGCCGCGUAUAGGAAGAAGUUUUUCGGAAUGUAAACUAUUGUCAUUAGGGAAGAGAAAGGACGGUACCUAAGGAGGAAGCCCCGGCUAACUAUGUGC
RNAcentral lists this ribosomal RNA (473 nucleotides) under uncultured bacterium. Its description in RNAcentral is "bacterial SSU rRNA". It matches the Rfam family "Bacterial small subunit ribosomal RNA", at positions 28 to 508 of the family's 1533-position model. The record is from RNAcentral.